Molecule: ribosomal RNA, 1645 nt
Filed under: Escherichia coli
Lineage: Bacteria; Pseudomonadati; Pseudomonadota; Gammaproteobacteria; Enterobacterales; Enterobacteriaceae
Description: partial 23S ribosomal RNA
Rfam family: Bacterial large subunit ribosomal RNA
Source: RNAcentral
CGAAUGCUGACAUAAGUAACGAUAAAGCGGGUGAAAAGCCCGCUCGCCGGAAGACCAAGGGUUCCUGUCCAACGUUAAUCGGGGCAGGGUGAGUCGACCCCUAAGGCGAGGCCGAAAGGCGUAGUCGAUGGGAAACAGGUUAAUAUUCCUGUACUUGGUGUUACUGCGAAGGGGGGACGGAGAAGGCUAUGUUGGCCGGGCGACGGUUGUCCCGGUUUAAGCGUGUAGGCUGGUUUUCCAGGCAAAUCCGGAAAAUCAAGGCUGAGGCGUGAUGACGAGGCACUACGGUGCUGAAGCAACAAAUGCCCUGCUUCCAGGAAAAGCCUCUAAGCAUCAGGUAACAUCAAAUCGUACCCCAAACCGACACAGGUGGUCAGGUAGAGAAUACCAAGGCGCUUGAGAGAACUCGGGUGAAGGAACUAGGCAAAAUGGUGCCGUAACUUCGGGAGAAGGCACGCUGAUAUGUAGGUGAAGUCCCUCGCGGAUGGAGCUGAAAUCAGUCGAAGAUACCAGCUGGCUGCAACUGUUUAUUAAAAACACAGCACUGUGCAAACACGAAAGUGGACGUAUACGGUGUGACGCCUGCCCGGUGCCGGAAGGUUAAUUGAUGGGGUUAGCGCAAGCGAAGCUCUUGAUCGAAGCCCCGGUAAACGGCGGCCGUAACUAUAACGGUCCUAAGGUAGCGAAAUUCCUUGUCGGGUAAGUUCCGACCUGCACGAAUGGCGUAAUGAUGGCCAGGCUGUCUCCACCCGAGACUCAGUGAAAUUGAACUCGCUGUGAAGAUGCAGUGUACCCGCGGCAAGACGGAAAGACCCCGUGAACCUUUACUAUAGCUUGACACUGAACAUUGAGCCUUGAUGUGUAGGAUAGGUGGGAGGCUUUGAAGUGUGGACGCCAGUCUGCAUGGAGCCGACCUUGAAAUACCACCCUUUAAUGUUUGAUGUUCUAACGUUGACCCGUAAUCCGGGUUGCGGACAGUGUCUGGUGGGUAGUUUGACUGGGGCGGUCUCCUCCUAAAGAGUAACGGAGGAGCACGAAGGUUGGCUAAUCCUGGUCGGACAUCAGGAGGUUAGUGCAAUGGCAUAAGCCAGCUUGACUGCGAGCGUGACGGCGCGAGCAGGUGCGAAAGCAGGUCAUAGUGAUCCGGUGGUUCUGAAUGGAAGGGCCAUCGCUCAACGGAUAAAAGGUACUCCGGGGAUAACAGGCUGAUACCGCCCAAGAGUUCAUAUCGACGGCGGUGUUUGGCACCUCGAUGUCGGCUCAUCACAUCCUGGGGCUGAAGUAGGUCCCAAGGGUAUGGCUGUUCGCCAUUUAAAGUGGUACGCGAGCUGGGUUUAGAACGUCGUGAGACAGUUCGGUCCCUAUCUGCCGUGGGCGCUGGAGAACUGAGGGGGGCUGCUCCUAGUACGAGAGGACCGGAGUGGACGCAUCACUGGUGUUCGGGUUGUCAUGCCAAUGGCACUGCCCGGUAGCUAAAUGCGGAAGAGAUAAGUGCUGAAAGCAUCUAAGCACGAAACUUGCCCCGAGAUGAGUUCUCCCUGACCCUUUAAGGGUCCUGAAGGAACGUUGAAGACGACGACGUUGAUAGGCCGGGUGUGUAAGCGCAGCGAUGCGUUGAGCUAACCGGUACUAAUGAACCGUGAGG